UACGUAGGGGGCUAGCGUUGUCCGGAUUUAUUGGGCGUAAAGAGCGUGUAGGCGGCCAGGUAGGUCCGGUGUGAAAACUCGAGGCUUAACCUCGAGAUGUCAUCGGAAACCAUCUGGCUAGAGUCCGGAAGAGGAGAGUGGAAUUCCUGGUGUAGCGGUGAAAUGCGCAGAUAUCAGGAAGAACACCAAUGGCGAAGGCAGCUCUCUGGGACGGUACUGACGCUGAGGCGCGAAAGCGUGGGGAGCGAACAGG
RNAcentral lists this ribosomal RNA (253 nucleotides) under uncultured bacterium. RNAcentral describes it as "partial 16S ribosomal RNA". It matches the Rfam family "Bacterial small subunit ribosomal RNA", at positions 524 to 776 of the family's 1533-position model. The record is from RNAcentral.